This is a long non-coding RNA of Acanthochromis polyacanthus (spiny chromis), 686 nucleotides long. RefSeq lists it as uncharacterized. The record is from RefSeq and is a predicted model, not a curated record. The transcript has 3 exons. NCBI's taxonomy places the organism in Eukaryota, Metazoa, Chordata, Actinopteri, Pomacentridae.
GGUGGGGGCAUUAGUGUUGGUGAGGGGAGGAGGCAGAGGGGGAUUCGGUAGAGAGGAGCCGAAGUAAAUAGGAGGCCGAGAGCAAGAGAGUGAUCAUUAUGAGACGAGCUGAAAGCACGGGAAGGACACGACUUCUCUCUCAGCCUCCAUUAGCAUCCGUAAACAAGAGCAAGUGAACAGCAGCCCAGGUUCUGAACACAGCGGUGUCCCACCUACCAGGUGUAAACAGGGAUGACCGUCACUCAGCAGCUGUAAGGAGGAGGAGGAAGACAGGAAACAUCUGAAAGCAAAACAGGGAAGGUUUCAACACAGUGAAGAGGGAGUCACUGUAGUUACAGCAUUGAGCUGAGGCCCAUCCUCCCCUACCAGAAGAUGGGCACAGCAGAAGCCACUUUACGCAUGGACAGCAUGGAGGUGAAGGACGAGUGGCAAGAUGAGGACUUCCCCAGGUAUUCGUUUGUCUGGGAAUAAGUGAAAUGCUGCGUUUGUGUGUACAGUCUCUCCGAUUUGUGCACAAACUCUGACAAACAGCUCAGGCUUUGAUGGAAAGUUGGUCACGUGUCGAAGGCUAAAAGGAAGCAGGUGUGUGCUUUCCGGGAUGUAGUUAUUAGGUGUUGCGUGAUGAGGUUGUAUCAUGUCAGUGAACAAAAUAGCAGCUUGAAAAGAGAGCAGAGGAGAAGAGAACA